AUUGAACGCUAGCGGGAUGCUUUACACAUGCAAGUCGAACGAGUGGCGGACGGGUGAGUAAUAUAUCGGAACGUGCCCAGUAGCGGGGGAUAACUACUCGAAAGAGUGGCUAAUACCGCAUACUAUUGGAGCGGCCGAUAUCGGAUGAGCUAGUUGGUGGGGUAAAGGCUCACCAAGGCAACGAUCCGUAGCUGGUCUGAGAGGACGACCAGCCACACUGGGACUGAGACACGGCCCAGACUCCUACGGGAGGCGGCAGUGGGGAAUUUUGGACAAUGGGGGAAACCCUGAUCCAGCCAUCCCGCGUGUAUGAGAAGGCCCUAGGGUUGUAAAGUACUUUCAGUCGGGAGGAGGUAAAGAAAGAAGAAGCACCGGCUAACUCCGUGCCAGCAGCCGCGGUAAUAG
RNAcentral lists this ribosomal RNA (405 nucleotides) under uncultured bacterium. RNAcentral describes it as "partial 16S ribosomal RNA". It matches the Rfam family "Bacterial small subunit ribosomal RNA", at positions 30 to 526 of the family's 1533-position model. The record is from RNAcentral.